CUAAGAAUCUUCCGCAAUGGGGGGAACCCUGACGGAGCGACGCCGCGUGAACGAAGAAGGCCGUGAGGUUGUAAAGUUCUUUUCUCGGAGAAGAAUAAAGUAGCGAGGGAAUGCGCUACAGAUGACAUUACCCGAGGAAUAAGCCCCGGCUAAUUACGUGCCAGCAGCCGCGGUAACACGUAAGGGGCGAGCGUUGUUCGGAUUUAUUGGGCGUAAAGGGCGUGUAGGCGGUUUUGUAAGCCUGGUGUGAAAGGCUCCGGCUUAACUGGAGUUUGCGCUGGGAACUGCAAGACUAGAGUUCAGGAGGGGAAGCUGGAAUUCCUGGUGUAGGGGUGAAAUCUGUAGAUAUCAGGAAGAACACCGGUGGCGAAGGCGAGCUUCUGGCCAUGAACUGACGCUGAGGCGCGAAAGCGUGGGGAGCGAACA
Molecule: ribosomal RNA, 426 nt
Filed under: uncultured bacterium
Lineage: Bacteria
Description: bacterial SSU rRNA
Rfam family: Bacterial small subunit ribosomal RNA
Source: RNAcentral